This is a long non-coding RNA of Neopelma chrysocephalum (saffron-crested tyrant-manakin), 2083 nucleotides long. RefSeq lists it as uncharacterized. The transcript has 5 exons. Lineage: Eukaryota; Metazoa; Chordata; Aves; Passeriformes; Pipridae. The record is from RefSeq and is a predicted model, not a curated record.
CCAUGGGAAGUGGUGAAUUAAUUCCUUGUUUGUUUUGCUUGUGAUGAAAAAAGACACCGCUACUUCUGACUUUUCCUUGGUGUCCAUGAAAGGUAGUGCCCAAGGCAUCACAUCAGCAGUGAAUCCUUCUCCAUGGCAGUGACACAGAGAGGUCAGUUCUGAUUUAAACCUGUCGUCUCUUAAAGAUUCCUAACAUGAUUCUCAUGCACUGGCCAAAACUGCAGUACUUUGCAAAGCAGAAAAUACAGGAGAACUUCACAUUCACAUGGAGAACUGUAUUCCCAAGAGAAAAGAAGGGAAUCAUGGCAGUGUUUCCAUGAUUACUGGGGUGAGUAUGAUCCUAUUAAAAACCAGCAUUCAGACUGACAAUAUUUGGAUCAAGAGUAUCUGACCACAUCCCUUUAGCCCUCAUGACACCUUUGUGAGGUGACAAGCUGAAGAUAUUCCUAAGGGAAGCCUCACCUCUGAUACUCAGCAAGACCGUGAGCAUUCUGAACCCUUGAAAUUAAUAGAAAUGGGCAUCUCUCACAGCUACCCUCAAUCAAGUGAAGGGCUAUUUGCAAAAAUUAGAGGUCUCAUUUUUUUGAAGAGGAAAGGAUCACUGACUACUCUGAGCUUUUUCAGUCAUCCACAGAAACGAGCCUGAGAUGUACCAUGGGCACCUCACCAAGGACGUCACAGCAACAUGUUCCCAGAGCACUGAGGACAUCUGCACUUCUGAGAAUGAAACCUCUUGUGUUAAGUGGCUUUUUAGUACUUUAUGGGGAAUACCUCUAAAACAGGUCUUUAUUUUUAAACUGGGGAGGGUUUUGUAAGUUUGAUUUUACCUCAAGACAUCACAAUCCCAACACUCAUGUAAGGAUGAAUACAUGCGCAAAUCCAGAUGACCCAAACAGAAAAAUCAUGCUUCCCUGGCAAAGUCAUGUGAUAUCGUAGAAGGCAUGUUCAAUUUUCAGCAGAGAAAAACAUUUACAGAAUUCUACCUUUUCACAGAGGGAAAGCACAGUCCCAGCUUGGAUUAUUGCAACCUGCUCUUCAUUUCUCAAAUUCUAAAAUACAAAAAGAUGCAUUUUAAACUGGGUCAAAAAAUCAUCCUUUAACACAAGAAAUAACUAUACUUGAAAAAAUAAAUAAUUUAUUACAUUUAGAAUUAUAGACGUGACCAAAAAAGCAUCCCAUUAUUAAAAGUAUUGAAAGUUAAACCAGGAGUGCUUAGUUUCCACUCAAUUUCAGUACAUCAUCUCCCCAAUGCUUUUGCAACAAUUUAUUAUUUGAUGAAAGUUAAGUGGUGUCUGUCAGCGAUUUUGAAUUUUUUUUUCCCUUAGGCCUGUUAAUUGGACUAUGGCCCUACAGCAAGUGAAUCUCCCCUUCGUGCACUUUCAGAGCUAGACUUCCCACUAAUGAAAACAAUGCAAAGAUCAAGUACCAUAGAAACCUUCAUAGAACUUUCAACAUAAUAUGUAAAUCUAGAACUUAAAACUAGCAUUAUAAAGAGUUCAAUCUGUUAAGGGUAGCUAUAAACUGGACCCAGUUCCCUGGAUGUUUGUGCCACAACUGCAUGACCAAGAUUUUAUUCUGUAUUUGGCACUGUAGAAGAACGGGAGACAGUUAUCCUUGCCUUUCUCCCAGAAAAUCCACUCCUGGCAGAAAACAGCCUUCACAGUAGUGGGUGCUACUGUUACUACUCAAAAGAAAAAACUCACAAACAACUUGGUCUGGCUUUCAUUUCUGUUUUAAAUCUGGUUUUAUUUCCUUUUAUAUCUCGUCUGGGUAUUAUCUUUUCCCUCUGCCUACUUCAGUGCCUUUUUCUACAUCAUUCAGUCAAGACCAAAUCCUAGCUUAAAAAAAUAUGCUUUUCACUGGUAUCAGUUUAACUGAAAGAUUUCAAGUUUGUGAAAGCAGUACCUAACCAUUCAUAUUCUUCAUACAAAUACAUAUAGGCAUGUAAAAAUCACCCUCUGUAUUUUCUAGGAUGUUAUUAUCAGCUGUGGAGAAAAAAAUGCAUUAAAUUAACCAUAAAACUGAAGAUAUAUUUAAAAUUAAAAAUUUGUUACCCCAUUAUCUCCAAGAAUAUCUAGUUUCU